GCGCUGGUGGCGUAAGACGUAGCGUUUUUGCCCGGAAAGCAGAAGGUGCGGGUUCGAGUCCCGCCUGGCGCA
Heligmosomoides polygyrus is the source of this 72-nucleotide non-coding RNA. The record is from Rfam. Lineage: Eukaryota; Metazoa; Nematoda; Chromadorea; Rhabditida; Heligmosomidae.